RNAcentral lists this unclassified non-coding RNA (366 nucleotides) under soil metagenome. RNAcentral describes it as "partial contains 5.8S ribosomal RNA, internal transcribed spacer 2, and large subunit ribosomal RNA". The stretch from base 1 to 120 matches the Rfam family "5.8S ribosomal RNA", at positions 35 to 154 of the family's 154-position model. The record is from RNAcentral.
GAUGAAGAACGUAGCAAAAUGCGAUAAGUAGUGUGAAUUGCAGAAUUCAGUGAAUCAUCGAAUCUUUGAACGCACAUUGCGCCCGCCAGUAUUCUGGCGGGCAUGCCUGUUCGAGCGUCAUUUCAACCCUCAGGUCCCCCUUUUCGGAGGGGGAGACACCCUGGUGUUGGGGGACGGCCUGGCCUUCUGCGCCGCGCCGCCCCCGAAAUGAAUUGGCGGCCUCGUCGCGUGCCACCCCUGCGUAGUAGCACAACCUCGCAACGGGAGCCCGACGCGGCCACUGCCGUAAAACGCCCAACUUUUAAGAGUUGACCUCGAAUCAGGUAGGAAUACCCGCUGAACUUAAGCAUAUCAAUAAGCGGAGGA